AUUGAACGCUGGCGGCAUGCCUUACACAUGCAAGUCGAACGGCAGCACGGGAGCAAUCCUGGUGGCGAGUGGCGAACGGGUGAGUAAUAUAUCGGAACGUGCCCAGUCGUGGGGAUAACGUAGCGAAAGCUACGCUAAUACCGCAUACGAUCUAUGGAUGAAAGCGGGGGAUCGCAAGACCUCGCGCGAUUGGAGCGGCCGAUAUCAGAUUAGGUAGUUGGUGAGGUAAAGGCUCACCAAGCCGACGAUCUGUAGCUGGUCUGAGAGGACGACCAGCCACACUGGGACUGAGACACGGCCCAGACUCCUACGGGAGGCAGCAGUGGGGAAUUUUUGGACAAUGGGCGCAAGCCUGAUCCAGCAAUGCCGCGUGCAGGAUGAAGGCCUCGGUGUAAC
Molecule: ribosomal RNA, 396 nt
Filed under: uncultured bacterium
Lineage: Bacteria
Description: bacterial SSU rRNA
Rfam family: Bacterial small subunit ribosomal RNA
Source: RNAcentral